Molecule: ribosomal RNA, 429 nt
Filed under: uncultured bacterium
Lineage: Bacteria
Description: bacterial SSU rRNA
Rfam family: Bacterial small subunit ribosomal RNA
Source: RNAcentral
UCGAGAAUUUCUCGCAAUGGGGGAAACCCUGACGGAGCGACGCCGCGUGGAGGAUGAAGGUCUUCGGAUUGUAAACUCCUGUCAUUGGUGAACAAAGUAUUUCAGGGUAACUCCUGGGGUGCCUGCUAGUAGCCGAAGAGGAAGGGACGGCUAACUCUGUGCCAGCAGCCGCGGUAAUACAGAGGUCCCGAGCGUUGUUCGGAUUCAUUGGGCGUAAAGGGUGCGUAGGCGGUCUUCUAAGUUUGAUGUGAAAUCCCGGGGCUCAACCCUGGAAUUGCAUUGAAUACUGGAGGACUAGAGUACUGGAGAGGAAACUGGAAUUUACGGUGUAGCAGUGAAAUGCGUAGAGAUCGUAAGGAAGACCAGUGGCGAAGGCGAGUUUCUGGACAGUUACUGACGCUGAGGCACGAAGGCCAGGGGAGCAAACGG